CCUGACUUUCUGUCAGUAUCUUCUGGAUAACAGGUCUGACUGCUGAGAGGGAAUGAAUGGAUCCUCUGUGCUGCACUUUUUUUUUUGUGUUGGCAUUGCAGCAAUUACAAGUCUUCUGCAGAUCUGAACUAAGUUUUAUUUUGUCUGCAUUAACAUUUUGAACACUGACUGAUGCAAACAGUGAUUUGGGGCAGAGUUCUGUGUUUGAAACAUCUACAGGACAGAUGCAGUUUUACAUAUUCGGAUGAUGUGAUUAAAUAUGACUUACACUUUCAGUAAUUCUAACGCUCGUGUUCUUGUUCUCAUUUCAGUCUGGUCUGCCUUAAUCUUACCAUGUGCCUGGGCACAAAACAACAUGCCAAGUGUGGUUGUGGAGGCGAGGAACAUUACUGUUCUAGCCGGGUCAGAUGUUCUUCUGCCAUGUCAUACUCAUAACCAGCGGAUGGUUUGGAGGCAAGAUCGCCUGCGGGACCGUCAGCGUGUCGUGCACUGGGACCUGAUCCGGAACCAACCCGAUUACACUGUGGAACGCAUUUUAGAUAUGUCCUCAGGGGGAACAGAGCGCUUGUACAACGACUACAACAGGGGUCGAAUUACUAUUUCAAAAGACGCCUUUAGCGAUGGAAAUUUCUCACUAGUUAUUAAUAAUGUGGACAUGAAUGAUAAGGGUAUCUAUACCUGCAACCUACAUCACCACUAUUGCAAGGUCCACCAGUCCAUUCAAAUCCAGCUCAACGUCACUAAAUCACCUCGAAAGGAAAAGCGUGUCUGGGUUGGUGACAAAUCCGUGCUUGUGGUUCUGGUGGGAAAGAGUGUGGUGCUUCCCUGUAUGAACCCCAGACAAUUGUGGACGGACAGUCAGAAGGACGAGGGCCAACAGCAAGUGGUCCACUGGGACUGGCAGGCACCUGGGGUCACCCGUGACCGAGCAGACCGCCUCAUUGAUAUGUAUGCCUCUGGAGAGAACCGGCAGUAUGGGCCGCUCUUCCUCCGGAAUAAGAUGAACAUCUCAACUGAUGCCUUCUACAUGGGAGAUUUCUCCCUGAGUGUCUACAACAUUCAACCUUCUGAUAAAGGCUUGUAUUCCUGCCACCUUCACCAUCACUACUGUGGCUUGCAUGAAAGACGAAUCUUCAGGGUGAUCGUCGGCCCUUCUGUCCAGCCUUCACCUCAAGCGCUCUCCUCUACUGAUGCACCAAAAACUCCUUCUUCUUAUUCUGUCCCACCUGCUGAUGACCCAAAUACACACAUGGUUGAAGCGCCUCGCAUCCUCAAUGUCAUUUUGCCUGAGAUUCAAACUCACCUCUUGCACCAAGUAGGCUACAUCCUGGCAAUCUUCCUGCUGCUUCUGUUAAUGCUCAUUGGCAUCAUUAUGACCACGAGACACUGCAGAAAAAAAGGGCCUGAGUUUGAGGUUCGAAGGUCUGAACGGCAAUGGCAUAACUUUACUUGGCAGGGGGAGGAGGACAUCCAUUGAACUUGAUGCCACAGAACUGCAAUCCUACAAUCAGGAAGACUUGCGAAUGGAAUACAAGAACAACAUAAUUAAAGAAAGGGCAGCGGCAAACAACUUUCCCUCUCCAAAAGUUAUUGAUCUAAACAGAGAAAUGGAGAGAAUGUCAUGGAAGUGAUUCAUAGUUAGCUGCUGGCCGGUCCAGAGCGUGCUGAAUCAGAAGAGAUUCAAGGACUUUACAUUUACAUUGAGGACAAGAAUGGAAGUACUGACUUUAUACAGCAUAAUUACAGCUUACAUGAUGUUAUAAUACUCAAAUUCAAUACUGUAGGUCAAUUUAAUUGAAAUCUUUUAUCAUAAUAGCAGUUUAUCGUAUGGUAAUCUAUUGAAUUUUAAGUUACACAUAUGUAAAAUGUGGGAGAUCAAAUUGCUGAAUUCAGUUUGGCACUCUUCUGUGUUAAAUUUCUAAAUUUCUAAGUUGAAUUGCUAAAGUUCUGUGUGGUAGAACCCACUGUAAGUGUCUGGAUCUGAAUGGGAAUUUCUUAUAAAACUCAGGAAGCAAACAAAUAGCUGUGGCUUCAGGUCUAAAUAGUCAAAGAUGGUACACAAGUGAACUUCAAAGGCAAUUAAA
Molecule: RNA transcript, 2084 nt
Organism: Carassius carassius (crucian carp)
Lineage: Eukaryota; Metazoa; Chordata; Actinopteri; Cypriniformes; Cyprinidae
Gene name: matrix remodeling-associated protein 8-like
Exons: 9
Source: RefSeq, a predicted model, not a curated record